This 493-nucleotide ribosomal RNA is filed under the name uncultured bacterium. RNAcentral's name for it is "bacterial SSU rRNA". It matches the Rfam family "Bacterial small subunit ribosomal RNA", at positions 28 to 521 of the family's 1533-position model. The record is from RNAcentral.
GAUGAACGCUAGCGGAAGGCUUAAUACAUGCAAGUCGAGCGGUAGGUGGCUUCGGCCAUUGAGAGCGGCGCACGGGUGAGUAACGCGUACAUGACCUGCCUGUCAGAAGGGGGUAGCCCUGGGAAACUGGGAUUAAUACCCUAUGGUAUUGAUAUUAUGAAUGAUAUCAAUUAAAGUUGAGGCGCUGACAGAUGGAUGUGCGUCUGAUUAGCUAGUUGGUAGGGUAACGGCCUACCAAGGCGACGAUCAGUAGGGGGCGGUGAGAGCGUGGUCCCCCACACGGGUACUGAGACACGGACCCGACUCCUACGGGAGGCAGCAGUAAGGAAUAUUGGACAAUGGCCGAAAGGCUGAUCCAGCCAUCCAGCGUGCAGGAAGAAGGCCCUAUGGGUUGUAAACUGCUUUUAUCAGGGAAUAAACCUCUGGAUUCACUCCGGAGCUGAAGGUACCUGAAGAAUAAGCACCGGCUAAACUCCGUGCCAGCAGCCGCGGU